This 287-nucleotide unclassified non-coding RNA is filed under the name fungal sp. RNAcentral's name for it is "partial internal transcribed spacer region". The stretch from base 1 to 46 matches the Rfam family "Eukaryotic small subunit ribosomal RNA", at positions 1786 to 1831 of the family's 1831-position model. The record is from RNAcentral. Lineage: Eukaryota; Fungi.
AAGUCGUAACAAGGUUUCCGUAGGUGAACCUGCGGAAGGAUCGUUAACAAAUUUUCCCAACCACCCAACCACGUAUGUGAACUGUUAUCAAAGCCCGUGGAGUGCGUUUCGCGUGCUUGUGAGGAGUGGCCCAGGCAUUAGUGCCUGGACACUCUGGCGCAGUGAUCCUCACUGCGCCCAGCAUGUUGGAAGAGCUCCACAUUUAUUUACCUACCAGACUACUCUUAAGACUGAGACUUUAUGAUAAAAAAUAAAGACAACUUUUAGCAACGGAUCUCUAGGCUCUC